Small nuclear RNA from Suncus etruscus (white-toothed pygmy shrew), 107 nucleotides. Lineage: Eukaryota; Metazoa; Chordata; Mammalia; Eulipotyphla; Soricidae. The record is from RefSeq and is a predicted model, not a curated record.
GUGCUCGCUUUGGCAGCACAUAUACUAACAUUGGAAAGAUACAGAGAAGAUUAGCAUGGCCCUUGUGCAAGGAUGACAUGCAAAUUUGUGAAGCGUUCCAUAUUAAA